RNAcentral lists this transfer RNA (80 nucleotides) under Malassezia obtusa. RNAcentral's name for it is "tRNA-Ala". It matches the Rfam family "tRNA". Rfam says of the family: Transfer RNA (tRNA) molecules are approximately 80 nucleotides in length. The record is from RNAcentral. Lineage: Eukaryota; Fungi; Basidiomycota; Malasseziomycetes; Malasseziales; Malasseziaceae.
GGGGAAUUAGCUCAGUGGUAGAGCGCUUGCUUAGCACUUUGGAUUGCAUGAGGCCGUGGGUUCAAUUCCCACAUUCUCCA